GAUGAAGAACGCAGCGAAAUGCGAUAAGUAGUGUGAAUUGCAGAAUUCAGUGAAUCAUCGAAUCUUUGAACGCACAUUGCGCCCCUUGGUAUUCCAUGGGGCAUGCCUGUUCGAGCGUCAUUUGUACCCUCAAGCACUCCUUGGUGUUGGGUGUUUGUCCCGCUUUGCGCGUGGACUCGCCUUAAAGCAAUUGGCAGCCGGCAGAUUGGCCUGGAUCGCGAGCACAUUUUGCGACCUUGUCAUAACUGUUUGGCACCCAUCAAGACUAUUUUUUGCUCUUGACCUCGGAUCAGGUAGGGAUACCCGCUGAACUUAAGCAUAUCAAUAAGCGGAGGA
This 336-nucleotide unclassified non-coding RNA is filed under the name soil metagenome. RNAcentral describes it as "partial contains 5.8S ribosomal RNA, internal transcribed spacer 2, and large subunit ribosomal RNA". The stretch from base 1 to 120 matches the Rfam family "5.8S ribosomal RNA", at positions 35 to 154 of the family's 154-position model. The record is from RNAcentral.